AGUUUACAGAAAACUCUAAAAGUUAAAAUUAAAUCCACAAUAGCUCCAAAAGUUGAGGCUGGUGUGGUGGAUGAUUUGGAUUCCAUUGGAGUAACAGAACCCGAGAUUACGGACUUAGUCCGCGUCAAGUCUGUACCACCUCGGAGAAGAACCAAAAACAAUAUCAGGGUUGUGAAAGAUGUUUGGAUUCCAUUAGGGUAACAGAACCCGAGAUUACGGACUUCGUCCGCGUCAAAUCUGUACCACCUCGGAGAAGAACCAAAAACAAUAUCAGGGUUGUGAAAGAUGGUGAAUCACUUUUUUCAGCUAAGGAGACACUCAACACUGAUGGAGUAUCAUCGGAUGAAGCUAAAACUAGUGUGGUUGGAAGGGAAGAUUCAAGUUGU
Molecule: long non-coding RNA, 386 nt
Filed under: Nicotiana benthamiana
Lineage: Eukaryota; Viridiplantae; Streptophyta; Magnoliopsida; Solanales; Solanaceae
Description: long non-coding RNA (NBEN_LNC014157)
Source: RNAcentral